This 278-nucleotide unclassified non-coding RNA is filed under the name Hevea brasiliensis (rubber tree). The record is from RNAcentral. Lineage: Eukaryota; Viridiplantae; Streptophyta; Magnoliopsida; Malpighiales; Euphorbiaceae.
CCCUAUCUCUCGCUUCCACGCCAAUGCCCCAAUUCUUCACCCUCCAUCCAAACUCUCCGCCCGCCAUAAUCUCAUCACCACCCGUUCUUCCGCCGCCGACCACCCUCUNNUCACCUUUCUCCGAAUUGCUGCUACUUCUGCCAUCCUAUUCUUGGGCUUAACCGUUGGUGUCUCCCAGGCAGCAGCUUCCACUCCUUUUCUCCAUCCUCUGCCCUCUAAGUCGCCGGAAAUUUCAGUCACUCAAGAUGGUGAUGAUGCUGAUGACAAUUCUAAAAAUG